This 253-nucleotide ribosomal RNA is filed under the name uncultured bacterium. RNAcentral describes it as "partial 16S ribosomal RNA". It matches the Rfam family "Bacterial small subunit ribosomal RNA", at positions 524 to 776 of the family's 1533-position model. The record is from RNAcentral.
UACGGAGGGUGCAAGCGUUAAUCGGAAUCACUGGGCGUAAAGCGCGCGUAGGUGGCUAUUUAAGUCAGAUGUGAAAGCCCUGGGCUCAACCUGGGAAUGGCAUUUGAUACUGGAUAGCUAGAGUAUGGUAGAGGUGAGUGGAAUUUCAGGUGUAGCGGUGAAAUGCGUAGAGAUCUGAAGGAACAUCAGUGGCGAAGGCGACUCACUGGGCCAUUACUGACGCUGAGGUGCGAAAGCGUGGGUAGCAAACAGG